CUGGCAGCAUUCAGGUUCAUAGUCAUUGGCUGAAACAUGGCAUGGCUGAUUCCCCUUUUUGCGUAGUCACAGCAACUCCUGCUAUGACGACACUGACUGGACCGAAAGCCGAGGCCUGUGGUCUCUCUACCACUGCGCUGAGACAGACUGCACCGGACCGCACCCCAUGUCAUUCCAGUGCACAUUUUUUUCUGGGUUGACCCAUAUGCCGCCAUGUGCCAACGCCGGGAGAACCUGGACUCAAUAACCGGCAGGAAGACCCUCAGCGAUUCUCAGGACCCUCCGGAGAGAUUGCUUCUAUGUGGAGAUGUAAAGCCCAGUGUGUCUCUUGUGAAUGCCCCUUUUGUGUGAAGUAAGGACGAAAUGCGAGGCAAGGUAAACUCCAAAUAGAAGUGCACCUGGCUGCACUGAAGGCUCUACGCGUGCCACUGAAUGGAUCUAUAUUACUGCAUUACAGAUAAGUAUCACAGCACAUAUGCAUGGCACAUAUCUGCAUACCCACAUGCACAAAUAUACAGUACACAGCUGUUAUGUAUGUCUUAAAUCUGCAUAUACAUAUGCCAGGGCACGCUCACAUGCACGCUGGAUAGACACGCACAUGUGAGCACGCACAGAGGCACACAACAGCUCCGUGGAAUUUAAGUUCCUUGAUUUGCAGCUUGGGUGCGGAAAAACACAUGUUGCCACUUAAUACCCUAGGCUAGAUUUGCACUCAUUUAAAACGUAUCCCUGAUGAUGUCUCCACUGAAGCAAGCCCUUAUACCAUUAGACAUGCCACCCAGAAGCCUUUCCUCGCUGGAAAGCUGAUGCCAUGCGUGGCUUGGCUUGGCAAACAUUGUUCUUGGCCACGAGUGUUGAUGCUAUAAAAGCACAUUUGCCCUCUUCAAACUCUGUCCAAAAUACUUCACAGAUAGUUCAGAUGCAGCAAUAUAUGUUUCAUUUCAUCCCCAUGCAUCAUAAAGUGUGAGAUAGUUUAUAAGCCUGUGAUUUGUUCCCCACUUUUGACUCAUGCUGCCCUUCUUUUGUUAUGUGCUUUCUCUCUGUAGCUCAGAGGAUAGGUGAGGCAUUCCACAGGUGCUGGGGUUCUUCCUGUAAACAGUAUUACUGGUCAGGGCAUUAUGUUUGGUUUAAUAGCACAAUGUAUAAAGGCUGGGCCAAAAUAUGAAUCAACCAGACUCAACAGUUAUGAAAAUAUUUAUCUUCCCUCGAAAGUAAGUAGGUGGGAAUGAUCAAAUAUUGGUUAUCUUGCUUACUUGCUUACUUAAUACGGUUUCACAAGCUUGUGACCCCAAGAUGAGAUAAUGCUUUGCCAUAUUCAGUGACUGAGAGAGUUGUGUAAUAAAGUUGAAUAAUAACUCUAAUAAUGACUCACACAGGAAGACUAUGUGCAUCCAAGAGGGGUGCUUGGAUAGAUAGGCCUCUGGAUAACAUAACAGCUGGGAGGUUUUCAUUUAGUCUUUUUGGGGACAACUUCAGAGGCCUGGGCAUCUCAAAUGAGCGGCCUUACACACACACAAGAACAAAAAUACAAAACAAAAGUGUGCUCAUAUAUAGUUUAUGGUAUUAUCUAAAAGCAUAUGCAUCUAAAUCGAAAGUAUAAGGUUAUAAGGGUUAGGUUUUUGAUAGUGUCAGUAGUGACAGUGUUUAAUUGAUAUAUCCCUGAGACAUAAAGAUUCAGUUAAAUGUCAAAAUGUGUGUUAUUUUGACAUGAUAAUGGGGCUUGAUCUUAGGCUAUCUGUUCAUUUUGGUCAAACCAUUGAGAUAUGUGUGGAAAACCUGCAUCUGAAGAUUUCAGCACCAAUCCAUGUGACUUCAGUACAUAAAAAAGACAAAUAUUUCCAAUGUGACAUUUGAAUUAAUGCAGGAUUCUUUGUGAACAAUUAACAAAAGCCUAUGCCUGUUCUGCACCACUGAUGGGCCCAAUCAGAAUGGAUAACUGCCAGUUCAUUCAGAUGAACUUGCUGUUUUCAAGUUAGUACAUCAAAAAGAAACAGAUUUCAAAGAGAAUAAAAUAAACGCUUUGCAACUUGCCACAAUCCUAACCUUUGUUUGGAGUCCAUGAUAAGGUUUUAAGGGUUGAUCUAAUGCACAAACCAUGUCAUGUUUCCUGCUGCGUGUGCAUUUCACUGCCAUGUUAAAAUGCCAGCCUUUUUCCAUCUGCCAGGAGUGUGGCAUUGGGGUGAUUCAGCUGUUGGCAGGCUAUGUUUACAGGCCGUUUGUGGUAACUUAUUAACAGAAACAAGCAUUUCAGUUCAUUCUGUUGGGUAUCACAAUUAAAUCAUUGUCUUUUGACCUAUUUUUUUAUGUUUUUAAAAAAGAAAACAUAACAUAACAUCACAACAACAGGUUUUCAUAGUCCUGUAUUGUUUUUUGAAUACUGGCUCAAAGUAUAUAUUUGUGAGGUGCCAAGCCAACACUCCCCAACACUCACACCCUUGUCACACUAACCUACUUUCUGCUUAAAAACCAUAAAACCUCUAUAUGAGGUCACCAUUUGAGGUUAGAAUGGAUUUUUUGAUGCACAAGCUGACAUUUCAUCAUAGCAAGUAGUGCGUUCAGAGAGCCAGCGUUUGCUAUGAUCUGCUUGAAAUGUGGUUCUCUGUGGCCUGUUUAGCAACAGGCGAUAGCCGAGCCCAUGCUGUUAAUUGGCCCGUCCAGAGGGUGAGGUUUCCAGACAAGCACAAAGAAGGGGAACUGAGAGAACUAGGAUCACUGUAACUGGGUCAAUCAGGAGACCAGACAAGUUAAUUGAUCACACUGCAGAUCGUCAUUAGAGGGUUUUAACCACAGACUAUGUCAUAUUAUAAGUGUUUUUGGUGUAAGUAAAUUCUUCUUUUUUGUUGCUGAUGUAUUAACGCAAGCUGUGUCCCAUCCAUGCAACUUCAGGUAGAUCUGCUGUCAAUUUUUUGAGUAAAGGGUUACCACAUGCAUGCUGAUAACUAUAUGCUAUAACUAUAUAGGCCGAUAUCUUACUGUAGCCUAUAUUUCACUGACUAAUGCAGGUCACAAAAUUCAACCGCAUACUCCCAUUAGAAUGGAGCUCCUAAGGUCCCGUAAGGAGAUACUCUUUAUCUUGUGCGCACAUUCACAACAUACCUUCACAAGAUCCUGGAGGGACUGUAAAUUGAACUGUAUUUGACAUAGGACAGAUAUUCAAAAGUCCAGAUAUAAUAAAUCUGGACAUCCCUGCCCCCCACCCCCAGCUGGAAUGGCUAUGACACCACUGACUGUAACUCAGACCAAUCUAACACUACAAAAAGUGGGGCCUCUUGCUAAUCUCAAAUGCCCCCUGAUUGCAUCCUGCAGUGGCCCUGUCCAUACCACUGACCUCAGGAUAACAUCUAUGUCUUUUUUUUUUAUCACACCACUCUGAAUUGUUGGCAUCCAAAAGUAUGCAAAAACUGUGCUUUCAAAGUGGCACUUAAAUAUUUCAAACUUUCUGAGGUGUACAUUUAUUAUGAUCUCUAUUAAGAUGUACAUAAUGAUCGCUAGUCUGAGUGAACUCCUAAAGUAUGUAGAUCUUUCAUUUGACAUCAGUGAAUAAAAACAUUGCAUAGCUAAAAAGUUAAGCACACAUUCUUGUGAUGAGGAGAGCUGUGUUUAAUCUUAAAAAUAUCACAAACAAACUCAAGUUAUGACAGUUUAGUUCGUAGUGUUUUGUCUCAUCCUCACUUGGUGAAUACUGUGCGCUCUCUUUCCGGGUGUCAUGAAAUGACGCACAUCUCUCUACAAAAAACGAACUAUUGUUUAAGAAGCUCACCCACACAAACUCUCAAAUCAAAUCCUCAGGAAUGUGCUCUUUCACUGGUGAGAGUUACAAGCCGUUCCUAUCCGACAAUACCAGAGAGCAGGAUCACUGACAGAAAUAAUUCGUUCCAGGCAUACACUCCUCGCCAGCAAUGGUACCCAAAAUUUCAGAGCUCACUUAAAUCCGUUAACUCCAUCGUGUUUGUGACUCCCCAGACACAAGAGGUCUCCCGUGAACGUGUCGGACCCCGUCUUGCCCAUCAUGACAGUGUUUUACAUAGCCCACAUAAAUCUGAAUGUAUGAACAUACAGCCAAAACACAAGUUCGUUCUCUUAUGUGCAUUCAGUGUAAAUUAAUAUUGUGGUAGCCAACGUGGUCUCCUAUUGAUAACUAUUCAGGAAUUUUCUGCCAAUAUAAUGACAGUGUUUUCAAUACAGCAGACGUAAGAAUUGAAUGCAUUUCCACAGACAUACGUUAUGGUAGGUAGUUAACAAUACACAAUACUGUUAGUCCAGAUAAACGUAUUCGCAAGACUUCUAUAAACCGUACUGCAAUUUUAUUUCAGUUCGAAGAAUAUGCCAGAAUUGGGUGGAAAUUCGAAUGCUCGCUCAACAUGAAACCACUCGGGAGAGAAAGUGACUUUCACUUUACUUUCUCUAUGAAUAGCUCCUCCCUAUACCAAGGCGCAGUUAAGCAUCCUUCAAUGAGACGG
Molecule: long non-coding RNA, 4460 nt
Organism: Clupea harengus (Atlantic herring)
Lineage: Eukaryota; Metazoa; Chordata; Actinopteri; Clupeiformes; Clupeidae
Source: Ensembl